UACGUAGGGGGCAAGCGUUGUCCGGAUUCAUUGGGCGUAAAGAGCGUGUAGGCGGCCAGGUAGGUCGGUUGUGAAAACUGGAGGCUCAACCUUCAGAGGUCGACCGAAACCAUCUGGCUAGAGUCCGGGAGAGGAGAGUGGAAUUCCUGGUGUAGCGGUGAAAUGCGUAGAUAUCAGGAGGAACACCGGUGGUGUAAACGGCUUUCUGGACCAUAACUGACGCUGAGGCACGAAAGCGUGGGUAGCAAACAGG
Molecule: ribosomal RNA, 253 nt
Filed under: uncultured bacterium
Lineage: Bacteria
Description: partial 16S ribosomal RNA
Rfam family: Bacterial small subunit ribosomal RNA
Source: RNAcentral